This is a long non-coding RNA of Sebastes umbrosus (honeycomb rockfish), 1455 nucleotides long. RefSeq lists it as uncharacterized. The transcript has 3 exons. NCBI's taxonomy places the organism in Eukaryota, Metazoa, Chordata, Actinopteri, Perciformes, Sebastidae. The record is from RefSeq and is a predicted model, not a curated record.
AGUCAGUUCUCGUCCUCUAAACAAAGCAGACUUUCAACAGCGCUCAUGACAUUGUUCUGCGGCGCUCAGCACCAACAGCAGCACAAAACUCAAGGAGAAACGAAUGAACGCUGAGAGCAAAGAGAAGCAAUAAUGAGGAGCUUCUCAUUAAACCAAGAACAUCCUUUACUGGAGGAGAACGAGGGGAGGAGGAGGAGGAGGAGGAGGAGGAGGACGAAGAGGAGAGUCAGGAAAGCCCUGAUGUGGUCUCAUUUGCAUUCCUGCCCACCACCGGGCGUCAUUAGCCAUUCAUGACAUCGGGCCGGAGGAACAUUGAAGCUGAUUGGCCGGGCCUGGAGGGGAUAUGGGAGCUAUGAUUGGCGGAGCCCAGGGGAAAUUGACUUCUUAUUGGUGGUAAUGAAGAGGCCUGAAGGAGAGCACGGCUGAGACAAACACCCUGAAAUGAAGUGAAAUCCGCCGACUGCCUGGAAGGAAGGAAGGAAAUCAAUCUUCUUAAAUAAAUAUGACUUCACAUCAAUGCGUUGAAAGUUUUCCUGCUAAGGUAAAGAGAGAAGUAAAAAGAGAAAAAACAUGAUCCCAUUUCAUGGCGGUAAACUCACGCACACAGAUUAAUUCUGUGUUAUGCAAAUGUAAUUUAGUGGCUGUGUCCUCUGCGCUGGAGUGAGCGAUUAACAACCACUUUCUAUCCUGGUACACCUCCCAUUAACCUGACAAUGACACACACUGAUUGGACCGUGUGUGUCCUUGUGUGUUUGUAUCAGCGCUGCAUACCAACACCAUCCCUGCUUUAAUUAUCUCUCAUAGCUAAGCAGCGUUUCCAGCAACUUUAAAAAACUGCUUUCUCUGCCCUGUCAGAGUUUCUGCCGAAGCAAUUAAAGGAUGUUGGUGUCGCGCGGCGCCGAGGACUCGUUCCGUCAGUGCACCUCAUCCUGUUGGGCUCAUAUGGGGAUAACUGUCAGAGCGUCCUGACAGCUCACAGCGACUCAUUUUUAAGUCCUUAAGAUGUCGUGAUUGACGUUUUCUGUAGACUUAACCGGCUCCAGAUCCUGCUGAUGUUGUUUUAAAGGCAGCCUGAACAUCAACUACAGAUCAAAAAGCUGGCAGGUGUUCUGUCACUGCAUUUUAAGGGUUCAUUUUCAGCAUCUAAAAUGUUCCUGUUGGUUUUAGUUGAAAUGAAAACGACUCCUCACUGUUUGGAUACAGGUACUGUAUGUUAUGUAAGCUAAAGGAUGAUUCAGGCUUUAUUCCAAAUGUUCCUACAAAAACACGUCUCUUAUUACUUUCUCUACUACUAAGAGAUGUGACGAAACCAGAAAUGUAGCAGUCGAUACCAAUACCAAUUCAAUUCCACGGUAUAAAACAAAAGUGAAACAAUAAAUCCCAUGUACUUCAACAUCUACUCCUUUAUUACUGUUUGCAUUCUGGUGUUUGUUAGAGAAGUUAAACUGGUCAUAU